CCUACGGGAGGCAGCAGUGGGGAAUUUUCCGCAAUGGGCGAAAGCCUGACGGAGCAACGCCGCGUGAGGGAUGAAGGCCUCUGGGCUGUAAACCUCUUUUCUCAAGGAAGAAGAUCUGACGGUACUUGAGGAAUAAGCCACGGCUAAUUCCGUGCCAGCAGCCGCGGUAAUACGGGAGUGGCAAGCGUUAUCCGGAAUUAUUGGGCGUAAAGCGUCCGCAGGCGGCCCUUCAAGUCUGCUGUUAAAACGUGGAGCUUAACUCCAUCAUGGCAGUGGAAACUGUUGGGCUUGAGUGUGGUAGGGGCAGAGGGAAUUCCCGGUGUAGCGGUGAAAUGCGUAGAUAUCGGGAAGAACACCAGUGGCGAAGGCGCUCUGCUGGGCCAUAACUGACGCUCAUGGACGAAAGCCAGGGGAGCGAAAGGGAUUAGAUACCCCUGUAGUCCUGGCCGUAAACGAUGAACACUAGGUGUCGGGGGAAUCGACCCCCUCGGUGUCGUAGCCAACGCGUUAAGUGUUCUGCCUGGGGAGUACGCACGCAAGUGUGAAACUCAAAGGAAUUGACGGA
RNAcentral lists this ribosomal RNA (565 nucleotides) under uncultured bacterium. Its description in RNAcentral is "bacterial SSU rRNA". It matches the Rfam family "Bacterial small subunit ribosomal RNA", at positions 338 to 917 of the family's 1533-position model. The record is from RNAcentral.